Molecule: long non-coding RNA, 1071 nt
Organism: Alligator mississippiensis (American alligator)
Lineage: Eukaryota; Metazoa; Chordata; Crocodylia; Alligatoridae
Exons: 3
Source: RefSeq, a predicted model, not a curated record
UACAUUUUCAUCAGGGACCGAAGCCAGCAAAGUGUUGGGAAAUAGCCAGAAGGUGCUUUGGUUUAACAGGGUAAGAUUGCAGGUAAUAUAAAGACAUGGAAUAAGGAAAACCAGGAACUCAGCUAAAUGAGAUUAAACUUCACUUGUAAAGCAGUGCCAAGAUGCUGUGAACCUGUUUGCUUUGGCAACUGUACUGUUGAACAAGUAUAUGGGUAUAAAAGGAGACUCCCUGAGCAACCAGGGAGCAAGCAAACAGGAGCAGCAAAUAGUGCAGUUUGCAAGCAGUUCAUUCGGACAAGAGGAGGAAGGGGAAGAGGAAGAGAAGCCAGGCACCAGAUCCUGUUCCAGGAAGGUGGCAGUGAUCCACAAGGACCAAAUGUGCAUGGUGCCUGGGCAACAGACCCACAAAGCCCUGAUGCAGCUGCAAGAUGAGCUACAAUACCAACGGGAGAGGGGUAAGAACACCACUGCUGAAUCUCUACUUGGAGAAGGUGUAUGACUGAGCAUGCCAUCACUUCCUACUGGAGAUGCUGGAAAAGAUGGGAGUCCCUGCAACCUUUGUUGCCUGGAUAAAGGCACUGUGCACUAAUGUGAGCAACAGGGUACUGGUGAGAAGGUCCCUGACAAUUCCAACUGUGGUGCAGUUGAGGGUCAGGUAGGGCUCCCUGCUCUCUCCAAUCCUAUUUAUCUGCGCAAUGGAACCACUAACACAGUGGCUCAAGCAGGACCCCAGGAUCAGUGGCAUGAAGAUCCCCGGGAGUAACAGGGAACAGACAAAAGUUCUCGCUUACAUGGAUGACCUAAGCAUCAUAUGCAGGGACAUGGUUUCAGUAGGAAGAGCACCCAGGUACAUGAGCAGCAGCAGGGGCCAAGCUCAACAUGAGCAAAAGCACCUACCUACUCCUGGAGGAACUCAAGGGCCUGUCAGCCCUGGAGGUCUCUGUCCCCCAUGAGUGGGUAAAAAUCCUUGGGUGGAGUUUGACCCAGAGCUGUUAGGAUAGACAGUAUGGGAAGAGAUGAAGGUUAAGACCAAACAGAGCCAAGACCAAACAGAGACUGGGACUAUGGCAA